This 318-nucleotide ribosomal RNA is filed under the name Triticum aestivum (bread wheat). RNAcentral describes it as "partial small subunit ribosomal RNA". The record is from RNAcentral. Lineage: Eukaryota; Viridiplantae; Streptophyta; Magnoliopsida; Poales; Poaceae.
AUGUCUGAUGUAGUGAAGUUCAUAUUUUACUAUGAUCCUGGUACUGUCCAAACAACUGAGAUGGGAGCUGAUCUGAGUGAAUUUACUCAUAUAGAGGUACCAAUGAGCGCACCUCAAACAUGGUCUGUCGGUCAGUUGAAAGAAUGGAUUGCGGCAAGUUUAGGGCUUGAUACUGAAACACACAUCGUCGGUGUUCAUGCAUUGUGGACACGGUCAAGUUCAAUAAUUUACUUUUAUUUGAGGCCAAUAGAGCGAGACUCCGAUUGGGUGCGGUGGUUACAAGGUUGUGAAUGCAGGGGAUGCAAUCCUAUUGCCUAA